RNAcentral lists this ribosomal RNA (402 nucleotides) under uncultured prokaryote. Its description in RNAcentral is "bacterial SSU rRNA". It matches the Rfam family "Bacterial small subunit ribosomal RNA", at positions 355 to 774 of the family's 1533-position model. The record is from RNAcentral.
UAGGGAAUAUUAGUAAUGGGCGAAAGCCUGAACUAGCAACACCGCGUGUGCGAAGAAGGCCUUCGGGUUGUAAAGCACUUUUUGAGAGGAUGAGGAAGGACGGUACUCUCAGAAUAAGUCUCGGCUAACUACGUGCCAGCAGCCGCGGUAACACGUAGGAGGCGAACGUUAUCCGGAUUUACUGGGCGUAAAGCGCGUGUAGGUGGUUUGGUAAGUAGAGCGUGAAAGCUCCGGGCUCAACUGGGAGAGGGCGUUCUAAACUGCCGGACUAGAGGAUGGUAGAGGGAGGUGGAAUUCCGGGUGUAGCGGUGGAAUGCGCAGAUAUCCGGAGGAACACCAGUGGCGAAAGCGGCCUCCUGGACCAUUCCUGACACUCAGACGCGAAAGCUAGGGUAGCAAACG